AUGGUGGGGUCCAGGGGCCUGAGCCACCGGGACAGGUGCAGUGGCUGCUGGAGACAUGGUGGUAAAUGUGGAAUACACUCCUAUGACAUAAUGUCUGGUGUGGUAUAUAAACCAGUCACAGGCACUUGCCAUCAUUAUCUGGCACUGUAUUACAUACUGUACAUGAGUGUGUGUGCUAGGCUUAUCUUGGUUUUGGUUUUUAACAUUUUUUGUGAAUUUUUUGAGACAGAGUUUCACUAUGUAGUUCAGGCUGGCCUGAAACUAUGUAGCCACGGCUGGCUUCAAACUUGUGGCGCUCCUCCUGCCUCAGCCUCCAGAGAGCUGGGACUGGAGGCAUGGACCACCAUGGCUGAGCAGCAUUGGUCCAGUGACUGUUACCCCGGAAGAGCCGAGACUGGCUUCCCUUUGGAGGCUCAGGCCCGGGCAGGUCUGAAGCUGGACGUGCCGUACGUUCCAGCGCUGUAUGGAUACCGGAGGGGGCCUGAGGACAGCCUGCCAGCAGAGGGCGCAGGGACACCGCCCCUUCCAUGCCCAGUGCCCUGCACUGAGGGGCGUUACAUGAACUUCCCCCGACUCGUCUGGUCUCACUCGCAUCUUCCCAGUGAGGGAACUGCUGCAGCGACUGGCCAGGUCGGAAGCCUGGAUUAGUAAGGUGCAGCUCACCUGCAGAGCCGCCACCUGCAGAAGUUUGGAAAAACAGUGGAAUACAGAGUGUCCUGGGACGUGGACUUGAGAUACCUGGAAAAGGACAACUUAGUGAAGACAGAGGAGAAAAAAAAAAAGAAGCAGAUUUCUGAGAAUUGGGAGGGAGCUGAAGUGCAUUUUAGACUUUAGGGAUUUUGUUCUUUUAAGAUUUCAGCAUUCAGGAUUAGGACAUUUGGGAUUGUGUCUUUCAGGAUUAGGCC
RNAcentral lists this long non-coding RNA (905 nucleotides) under Fukomys damarensis (Damara mole-rat). RNAcentral's name for it is "lncRNA (ENSFDAG00000032756.1)". The record is from RNAcentral. Lineage: Eukaryota; Metazoa; Chordata; Mammalia; Rodentia; Bathyergidae.